This 484-nucleotide ribosomal RNA is filed under the name uncultured bacterium. Its description in RNAcentral is "partial 16S ribosomal RNA". It matches the Rfam family "Bacterial small subunit ribosomal RNA", at positions 30 to 507 of the family's 1533-position model. The record is from RNAcentral.
AUUGAACGCUGGCGGCAGGCCUAACACAUGCAAGUCGAGCGGAUGAAGGGAGCUUGUUCUUGUAUUCCGCGGCGGACGGGUGAGUAAUGCCUAGGAAUCUGCCUUGUAUUUGGGAAUAACGUCCGGAAACGGGCGCUAAUCCCGCAUACGACCUGAGGUUGAACGUGGGGGAUCUUCGGACCUCACGCUAUCAGAUGACCCUAGGUCGGAUUAGCUAGUUGGUGGGGUAAAGGCCUACCAAGGCGACGAUCCGUAACUGCUCUGCGAGGCUGAUCAGUCACACUGGAACUGAGACACGGUCCAGACUCCUACGGGAGGCAGCAGUGGGGAAUAUUGGACAAUGGGCGAAAGCCUGAUCCAGCCAUGCCGCGUGUGUGAAGAAGGUCUUCGGAUUGUAAAGCACUUUAAGUUGGGAGGAAGGGCAGUAAGUUAAUACCUUGCUGUUUUGACGGUACCAACAGAAUAAGCACCGGCUAACUUCGUG